GGGGUUGUGGCUGAGUGGUAGAGUGCUUGCCUCCCAUGCUUGAGACACUGAGUUCAAUCCUCAGCACCA
Molecule: transfer RNA, 69 nt
Filed under: Ictidomys tridecemlineatus (thirteen-lined ground squirrel)
Lineage: Eukaryota; Metazoa; Chordata; Mammalia; Rodentia; Sciuridae
Description: Spermophilus tridecemlineatus (thirteen-lined ground squirrel) tRNA
Rfam family: tRNA
About the family: Transfer RNA (tRNA) molecules are approximately 80 nucleotides in length. Their secondary structure includes four short double-helical elements and three loops (D, anti-codon, and T loops).
Source: Rfam by way of RNAcentral